This 338-nucleotide RNase P RNA is filed under the name Clostridia bacterium. RNAcentral's name for it is "RNase P RNA component class A". It matches the Rfam family "Bacterial RNase P class A". Rfam says of the family: Ribonuclease P (RNase P) is a ubiquitous endoribonuclease, found in archaea, bacteria and eukarya as well as chloroplasts and mitochondria. Its best characterised activity is the generation of mature 5'-ends of tRNAs by cleaving the 5'-leader elements of precursor-tRNAs. Lineage: Bacteria; Bacillati; Bacillota; Clostridia. The record is from RNAcentral.
CGAGUAAGACAGACGAUCGCUCCUCGGCAACGCGGAGAGGAAAGUCCGAGCACCACAGGGCAGAGCGCCGGGUAACUCCCGGUGGAGGCGACUCCAAGGAAAGUGCAACAGAGAGAUACCGCCCGCAUUUGCGGGUAAGGGUGGAAAGGCGAGGUAAGAGCUCACCAACGGCUUGGCGACUUGUCCGUUAUGUAAACCCCGCUCGGUGCAAGAUUGGAAUGAGAGCAUUCAAUAGCGGCCCGCUACGCUCCCGGAAAUCGCAUGAGCCCGCCGGCAACGGCGGGACAGAGAUAGAUGAUCGUCCUUUGACAGAACUCGGCUUACGGCUUGCUCGCAAU